Molecule: ribosomal RNA, 200 nt
Filed under: uncultured bacterium
Lineage: Bacteria
Description: partial 16S ribosomal RNA
Rfam family: Bacterial small subunit ribosomal RNA
Source: RNAcentral
UACGGAGGUCGUCAGCGUUAUCCGGAAUCAUUGGGUUUAAAGGGUCCGUAGGUGGAUAAUUAAGUCAGGGGUGAAAGUUUGCAGCUCAACUGUAAAAUUGCCUUUGAUACUGGUUAUCUUGAAUUAUUGUGAAGUGGUUAGAAUAUGUAGUGUAGCGGUGAAAUGCAUAGAUAUUACAUAGAAUACCAAUUGCGAAGGCA